AACGUCCGUCGUGAAGAGGGAAACAACCCAGACCGCCAGCUAAGGUCCCAAAGUCAUGGUUAAGUGGGAAACGAUGUGGGAAGGCACAGACAGCCAGGAUGUUGGCUUAGAAGCAGCCAUCAUUUAAAGAAAGCGUAAUAGCUCACUGGUCGAGUCGGCCUGCGCGGAAGAUGUAACGGGGCUAAACCAUGCACCGAAGCUGCGGCAGCGACACUAUGUGUUGUUGGGUAGGGGAGCGUUCUGUAAGCCUGCGAAGGUGACCUGUGAGGGUUGCUGGAGGUAUCAGAAGUGCGAAUGCUGACAUAAGUAACGAUAAAGCGGGUGAAAAGCCCGCUCGCCGGAAGACCAAGGGUUCCUGUCCAACGUUAAUCGGGGCAGGGUGAGUCGACCCCUAAGGCGAGGCCGAAAGGCGUAGUCGAUGGGAAACAGGUUAAUAUUCCUGUACUUGGUGUUACUGCGAAGGGGGGACGGAGAAGGCUAUGUUAGCCGGGCGACGGUUGUCCCGGUUUAAGCAUGUAGGCUGGUUAUCCAGGCAAAUCCGGAUAAUCAAGGCUGAGGUGUGAUGACGAGGCACUACGGUGCUGAAGUAACAAAUGCCCUGCUUCCAGGAAAAGCCUCUAAGCAUCAGGUAACAUUAAAUCGUACCCCAAACCGACACAGGUGGUCAGGUAGAGAAUACCAAGGCGCUUGAGAGAACUCGGGUGAAGGAACUAGGCAAAAUGGUGCCGUAACUUCGGGAGAAGGCACGCUGGUGUGUAGGUGAAGUCCCUGCGGAUGGAGCUGAGACCAGUCGAAGAUACCAGCUGGCUGCAACUGUUUAUUAAAAACACAGCACUGUGCAAACACGAAAGUGGACGUAUACGGUGUGACGCCUGCCCGGUGCCGGAAGGUUAAUUGAUGGGGUUAUCCGUAAGGAGAAGCUCUUGAUCGAAGCCCCGGUAAACGGCGGCCGUAACUAUAACGGUCCUAAGGUAGCGAAAUUCCUUGUCGGGUAAGUUCCGACCUGCACGAAUGGCGUAAUGAUGGCCAGGCUGUCUCCACCCGAGACUCAGUGAAAUUGAACUCGCUGUGAAGAUGCAGUGUACCCGCGGCAAGACGGAAAGACCCCGUGAACCUUUACUAUAGCUUGACACUGAACAUUGAGCCUUGAUGUGUAGGAUAGGUGGGAGGCUUUGAAGCGUGGACGCCAGUCUGCGUGGAGCCAACCUUGAAAUACCACCCUUUAAUGUUUGAUGUUCUAACGUU
This 1245-nucleotide ribosomal RNA is filed under the name Klebsiella pneumoniae. RNAcentral describes it as "bacterial LSU rRNA". It matches the Rfam family "Bacterial large subunit ribosomal RNA", at positions 1000 to 2229 of the family's 2925-position model. The record is from RNAcentral. Lineage: Bacteria; Pseudomonadati; Pseudomonadota; Gammaproteobacteria; Enterobacterales; Enterobacteriaceae.